This 328-nucleotide RNase P RNA is filed under the name Candidatus Aenigmarchaeota archaeon ex4484_14. RNAcentral describes it as "RNase P RNA component". It matches the Rfam family "Archaeal RNase P". From Rfam's summary of the family: Ribonuclease P (RNase P) is a ubiquitous endoribonuclease, found in archaea, bacteria and eukarya as well as chloroplasts and mitochondria. Its best characterised activity is the generation of mature 5'-ends of tRNAs by cleaving the 5'-leader elements of precursor-tRNAs. Lineage: Archaea; Nanobdellati; Candidatus Aenigmatarchaeota. The record is from RNAcentral.
GUAACUUGCAGCGCAACCGCCGUGCAUCAGCAUGAGGAAGCUCUGUCCACUCGUGUUCCUUAGACCGGAACAUUCUGGUAUCGGAGCGAGAGUUCCGAAACCGAGUACAGAAACGCUACCACCAAUGGCCUUAGCUGUGAUAGAGAUGAGCAAUGGGUCAUUGAGUGGAUGAGACGACUCGGUUCCAGAAGAGUGCAAGUCAUACUGACGUAACUGAUGUUUAUUGUCAGACAAAACGACGCAUAGACAAAUGGUUGCGGCUCAACUGAUGACCCUGGUGGUGUGUCAGGGGGAAUGAGUCAACAGAAGACGGGCUACUGCAAGUUAC